Scophthalmus maximus (turbot) is the source of this 2789-nucleotide long non-coding RNA. RefSeq lists it as uncharacterized. The record is from RefSeq and is a predicted model, not a curated record. Lineage: Eukaryota; Metazoa; Chordata; Actinopteri; Pleuronectiformes; Scophthalmidae. The transcript has 2 exons.
UCUUUAAAACCUACACAGAGAAGCCAGAUUUAAGGUUUUAGUGGUUAAACAGAUAAAGACAUACAAAAAGCCAAAUCAGUUGCCAGUACUGUAACAAAGCUUUGAUGCUGUGAGAAUGUAAUGUAUUUCUCUGGCUCUGUGGCAGGUCGUGUUACAGCCUGAUUGGAACAAACGUCCAAAGUACAUCACUGAAUUCCAAGAUCAAUAGUUAUUGUGAUCGAUUGUUUUAAACAUUAUCUCAAAACAGGUGCCAGAAAAUUCAGUUUGGGGCUUAAAGUGAUCACGUCUAAAUUUUCUCUCUAUAGUGUGUAUUUUUUGAAAAAAUUGUUUUGCCUGGUGCAAGACUGAAACAAUGUUUGCAGGACAGAAAAGUAUCCCUGAAUGUGUAUUUAAUGGCCACCAUGAUGAGUUGAUGGUUUGUACAUUUACCUGUGGUGCCUUUCUGCUUUUUUAUAUGAUGUGAAUUGAGACAGUAUGUUUGGACUUCAAUGUGUCAACCCUACUCAUUACUGUUUUGAAAGUGCAGUCCAUGAUCUUGUGAUGGAGUGUGACAGUGAGCAGUGAGGUCCAGAGAAACAGAGUGGGCUGCUGUAGAGAAUUUGCAGUGAAGGUUGCAGUCCGUCCGUUAAUAGAUGCUGCAGUGUCUCUAGUCAAAGGAGAAGUUUCUGUGUUAUUUGCCACGCUGUUGAGGAAGUAAAAUGUGUGGGAGCACUCUGUGCCACCCCCGGCUGCCCACGUCGCCUCCGCUAAAUCCGCCACUGAUCUGGAGAUACCCUCACAAAUAAUACUCCCACCAAAUUUGGUGAAAAUCCGUGGAGAGGCCUUUGUGAACGUUAUGAUGCCUGUAACAUUAUCCAGCAUGAUCGGUUUGGCGGUGGGUCAGUGAUGGUCUGGGGAGGCAUAUCCUUGGAGUGUCGUACAGUACUCCAUGUCAUAGCCAACAGUACCCUGACAGGUGUUAGGUACCAGGAUAUCCUCAGAGCGGUUGUUAGACCUUACGAUGAUGCAGUUGGCCAUGUGUUCCUCCUUGCAGGACAAUGCCUGGCCUCAUGUGACCAGAGUGUUUAGGCAGUUCCUGGAUGAUGAAAGCAUUGAUGCCAUUGACUGGCCCUCUUGGUUCCCUGACCUAAAUCCAAUUGAGCACCUAUGGGAUAUUAUGUAUUGGUGCAUAGACGCUGCCAAGUACCACCACCGACUGUCCAGGAUUUUACUGAUGCCCUGAUCCAGGUCUGGGAGGACAUCCCCCAGGAAACAAUCCGCCAACUCAUCAGGAGCCCAGACGUUGUCGGGAGGUCAUACAGGCACAUGGGGGCCAUACAAUAUGCAAAAUAUGAUGUGGUUAUCGCACCUGGCUCACCUUUACAGGUACUCUCCCCUGCACCAUCUUUGAGCCAGUAGCAUCGCUCUCGUUUCUCUCUCUCCUACAAUGCACCUCCUGUCCUGGGGUCUGGGCCUGAGUUGGGUGGCUUCUUUGGGUUUUCAAAUGGGCACCCCCCUUCAUCAAUGUUUUGUCGAAUUAAGCCCAGCACAUCUCCACGGGAUCAACGGUAGACCCAGUGUCCUGGGACUACCCCCACUGUCCACCACUCAACUCAGUGCUGUUGUUGUUGCCCAUCACCAGGUUGUUUCUGCCAACGCUCACUGCGCUUUAUCCAGAUCCAACGGGAUGCUGUCUCUGCCUGUUUGCUAACGUCAGCUACCAUCCGCUUCCUAGCCAUGCCUUCUAUUCCCAGCAGCCCAAGACUUCGCCAGAGUGAGUUCCCUGGGAAGCCCCUGGAGCGCUAUUUUGUGCCUCCUCAAUCCUCUCCUCCCAGGGCACUGUCAACUCCAUAAACAUGACCUGCUGGGUGCUUCCUGACCAAAGGACAAUGUCUGGUCUGAGGCAUGUGGUUGUUAUCUUUUCUGGGAAUUUGAGCUGUUUCUUGAGGGCUACCCGCAUCUCCCAGUCGCUUACUGUAGUUAAGAUCCCUCUGCUCCUAGUCUCCACCACGCCAGCCUUUCCUGCUCUGAGAAAGUGGAUAUACCGGUGGGCCUUGGAAUGUUGUCUUGGCUUCUUCCUUGCCUGCUCCAUACCAGUAGCAAACUGGGCCAGAAUCUGGUCAUUUAGCCACCGGAAUUUCCCAUCCGCCAGGCUUGAUCUGCAUGAUGAGAGUAGGGUUGUCACCAGAACUGAUACUACGGUACCAAGUCUGUCCAAACAUUAGGAAAACCAGAUGGUACUUGUUCUUCUGCAGUAGCGUAAGUACCGUAGGAACCGAGCAGGAUUUCCGGAACUGAUGGGGGCAGCAUAUAGCCUACAAGUGUUGUGGUCUGUCCUCAAAUGGUAAAGAAGAAGAAGAACUCCCUCCAGCACACUGGAAAAGUACGGGAGGAACACAACAACAAGUUGUGCACCGUCCCAACAAGAGUCGGAUGCGUUCGAGGUAGAUGAAUACGACGUUAUAAUUAAUGUGCUGAAGUCAAUAUGCAAACGAUGCCAUCGCGCAUUUCAAACCACAGGAGUUAACAGCUGACAGACGGGCAUCAAGAUCAGUUCAAAGAAUUCAAGUAUGAGCCAGAAGAGGAUCCACCAGGAGCAAAGUCAGCAAACAAUAUCAGAAGCUCUUAAUUUAUUUGUUAUAUCUUGAAGUCAUGACUUCCAAUAUGUGCCAUAAUAAAGUUGAUUGCAUAGUAUUGCACAUCUUUUUUUGUAAUGUUAAAUUUCUUCUUUUAAAUGGCUACAUGCCACUAUUAUUGUUUCUGUAAUGUUCAAAUAUUUUUUUAAUAAAGGAGUUAUUGUUUAAGUAUAA